Molecule: ribosomal RNA, 433 nt
Filed under: uncultured bacterium
Lineage: Bacteria
Description: partial 16S ribosomal RNA
Rfam family: Bacterial small subunit ribosomal RNA
Source: RNAcentral
AACGAACGCUGGCGGCAUGCCUAACACAUGCAAGUCGAACGAGACCUUCGGGUCUAGUGGCGCACGGGUGCGUAACGCGUGGGAACCUGCCCUUAGGUUCGGAAUAACUCACCGAAAGGGGUGCUCAUACCGGAUAAUGUCUUCGGACCAAAGAUUUAUCGCCUUUGGAUGGGCCCGCGUUGGAUUAGCUAGUUGGUAGGGUAAAAGCCUACCAAGGCGACGAUCCAUAGCUGGUCUGAGAGGAUGAUCAGCCACACUGGGACUGAGACACGGCCCAGACUCCUACGGGAGGCAGCAGUGGGUAAUAUUGGACAAUGGGCGAAAGCCUGAUCCAGCAAUGCCGCGGGAGUGAUGAAGGCCUUAGGGUUGUAAAGCUCUUUUACCCGGGAUGAUAAUGACAGUACCGGGAGAAUAAGCUCCGGCUAACUCCGUG